CCUUCCCUGUCACGGCAUCCCAGAGCCUAGUUGCAGCUGGGAACAAGCAGAGGCUCAAGAAAAGCCUGCGGGACGAACAUAAGCAUGUAGUUUGGGUUCUGACCCCCAUUACUAACUAAGCGAUCUUGAGGAAAUCCGAUAACCUCUUUAAGCCUCAGUCUCUGUGCUCAGUUUCACCUAUCGAUUUGAAAUACAAAUCCUUCAUUGCCUAAUAGGAUGCAUGCAAAGGUAAGACCAGAUGAGAUCACAGCUGCAAACACAUCGUGGACAUGGUCAAACCCAUCCAAAGGCACAUACUAUUCCUAUCCUCCCGGGCCUACAAAGCCCUACCCCGAGGAGCCAGUCCCACUUCCCACUCUCCUGGAGCACUUUGUCAGGGUUGGCCGCCGUGCCAUACAGUGUGUUCAUUCCUCUCUCUGCACUGGCAGCGGGUGCAGAGAGGCUUUCCUAGCCAUACGGUCUUCACUACAACUAUGCAACCCUGGCCUUCAUAGCUCAGAGCAGCCGCGGGCUGAGCGCCGCUGGGUUUCAGCAGAACCUGACUGCAGUCGCCCCGCUCCGCACCGGGGCGUGGGCGGUGUCUCCCGCUCAGAAUGCGGAGCCCGCCACCCCCCCAGCGCCCUCUCCUCAGCACCUUGAAUGAAGGGUCCCCGGCCCACGGCAUUCUCCUCCUUCUCUGCUCUCCUUCAAUACAGGUGAUCCCUGCCAUUUGAGUUCCCAAACGGAGAAAGGUUAAUAUAGAGGUCUGUGCUGGGCGCUGCCUGCCGCCUGAAUGACACUCCUGUUGAGAGCCGUGGCCUCCCCCGGCACACCGGCCUUUUGUACUUCGCUCUCACUUCGUGGGCACUCUGGCCACAAGCAGGCAAAGGCUUCGUGGCUUCACUGGGGUUGGGCUUGCUCUCCUCCCGGCUCCCGUUGAGGAGGCAACACGCCGGCUGAGGAAGGGAGCCAGGUGGGCGGCCAGGCUCACUCCCUGGCUCAGGGACUGACUCCCAAACCCCAGCCCCGGGGCCCCGAUGCCUCAGAGUCCUGUCGUGGCCAAGCUGCCAAUUACCACAUGCCCUGGGCCUCUGCAUCCACCACUCCAAGGACCGCGGAGGUGCCUUCACAGCCUGUGUGGCCGCAUUUGGGUCUAACUGUACGCUGCCUUUUAUGGCUUAAUUAUUAUUUCACAUGUGUUAGUCUCAUCUUCCCAAUUAGAUGUUCCCUGGAGGGAGACAGACGUGAUGGCUGAUGAUUGUGCUGCUUUGGUACCCGCUGUGACGCUCCGUCGAGCUGUCCAUGACCUCCAAGGAGGUGACCGGGACAGGUCCCAGCACCAGGGAACAG
Molecule: non-coding RNA, 1329 nt
Organism: Callorhinus ursinus (northern fur seal)
Lineage: Eukaryota; Metazoa; Chordata; Mammalia; Carnivora; Otariidae
Source: RefSeq, a predicted model, not a curated record